AGGAUUUUUCUGAAUAUAAAUACAAUUAAUUUUGGGACGAGGUCUAGUUAACAGUACGUACAAAGACAAAAAGAAAAUAUAAAGCUAAAGAAAUUGAUGGGCUCAAAUCAAAUCCUCAUUCCAAGGUGAUUUGUAGCUUUACCUAAUUGUUUUAUUUUGUUUGUUUGUACGUGUUAACAUGCAUACGUGCGAGAUUUUCCUCGCACGAAUAUAUAAUACUUUACAGCUACGUAUAUUUACCUUUACGUAAUUAUGAUAAAAGAUAUAUUUCUUAUGUAAACCAAUGGACGAACUUCAUUUAAAACAAAGCAUAUGAUUAGCGUGCAUGAGCGCAUAGCCAAAGGCAACAAAAUGUUUUAUAAAGAUUAAUCAUAAUAAUAUGGUUUUACUACGUUAUAUUAGAUUUAUUUUUGACAAAGAACGUUUUAGUAGAUUUACCAUUGUAGAAUAACAAAACUUAAAAAUGACUUUAUAAGUUCAGUUAUAUAAUUGUUAUUUCGGUCCUCAAGUUUUUAAUAAAAAAAUGAAAGUGAAGUUUUCUCCUGUAAGAAACAACGAUAGAAGAGGCCGGAACGUUAGAAGCCGGUAUGUGUCCGACUUUGAAAUGAAUGGUGCGGAUUAUGCACCUCAACCAAACGACGCAAAAAAGGAGAGGUUGGGCUAGCAAACAUCUUGGAAACCAUAGUGGACACACUAAGACUCAAAGAAGAAGUGUGAGGGCUCUUCUUGAAACCGGUUUCGAAGAAGGAUGCUCCAGACUAUUUUGAUAUAGUGAAACGCCCGAUGGAUCUGUCGACAAUCAGGGAUAAGGUACGGAAGAUAGAGUACAGAAACCACGAGCAGUUUAGACACGAUGUGUGGCAGAUCCAGCUCAAUGCUCAUCUUUAUAACAACAAUGGGCGUAACCCAGGGAUACCGCCUUUGGCAGAUCAGUUGCUGGAGAUUUGUGAUUGCUUGUUAGAAGAUUAUGGAGAUCAGUUAGCAGAAGCAGAGAAAGGUAUUGAUAGAUAGAUCCCAAACUGACUGAGAGAGUGUGUUUUAAGAUAGUCAUUCCUCUUUUAAUCAAGAAAAAAGAACUGGGAUUCUAGCUUUAGCUAAUGAUUUGUAUGAAGAAAAAAAAAGAAACAUUGUCAUGUGCUGUGUGUGUGUUCUUUUUUCUUUUUUCUAUUGUUGUUUGUAAAAUUUUGAGGUUUUCACUAAAGUGAUGAUUGUGGUGUGGGUAUUAAAUAGGACUUUGAAAGAUGAUGUGUUAAUGUUGUGUAUAAAACUUUGUUUUCAUUGAGAAUGGGCCUUUUGUUAAUUA
Long non-coding RNA from Brassica napus (rape), 1303 nucleotides. RefSeq lists it as uncharacterized. Lineage: Eukaryota; Viridiplantae; Streptophyta; Magnoliopsida; Brassicales; Brassicaceae. The record is from RefSeq and is a predicted model, not a curated record. The transcript has 2 exons.